RNAcentral lists this ribosomal RNA (359 nucleotides) under Salmonella enterica subsp. enterica. RNAcentral describes it as "bacterial SSU rRNA". It matches the Rfam family "Bacterial small subunit ribosomal RNA", at positions 66 to 437 of the family's 1533-position model. The record is from RNAcentral. Lineage: Bacteria; Pseudomonadati; Pseudomonadota; Gammaproteobacteria; Enterobacterales; Enterobacteriaceae.
ACUUGCUGCUUUGCUGACAAGUGGCGGACGGGUCAGUAAUGUCUGGGAAUCUGCCUGAUGGAGGGGGAUAACUACUGGAAACGGUGGCUAAUACCGCAUAACGUCGCAAGACCAAAGAGGGGGACCUUCGGGCCUCUUGCCCUCAUAUGUGCCCAUAUGGGAUUAUCUUGUUGGUGAGGUAACGGCUCACCAGGGCGACUAUCCCUAUCUGGUCUGAGAGGAUGACCACCCACUCUGGAACUGAGACACGGUCCACACUCCUACGGGAGGCAGCAGUGGGGAAUAUUGCACAAUGGGCGCAAGCCUGAUGCACCCAUGCCGCGUGUAUGAAAAAGGCCUUCGGGUUGUAAAGUACUUUC